Long non-coding RNA from Chiloscyllium plagiosum (whitespotted bambooshark), 1651 nucleotides. RefSeq lists it as uncharacterized. Lineage: Eukaryota; Metazoa; Chordata; Chondrichthyes; Orectolobiformes; Hemiscylliidae. The record is from RefSeq and is a predicted model, not a curated record.
ACCGCACUCUUGACUCUGAUCUCCAGCAUCUGCAAUCCUCACUCUCUCCUUUCUCCCUGAAAUGGCAGUACUAUAGUCUGGUAAAUCCCUACAUGGCCAGAAUAACCUUCUCCCAGAUAAGGAGACCAAAACACUGCAUUAUACGCUAGAUGUAGUCUCACCAAGACCCUAUACAAUUGCAGCAAGACAUCCCCACUCUUAUACUCCAAUCCUCACACUAUGAAGACCAACAUCUCAUAUGCCUUCGUCACUGCCUGUGGCACCUGCAUGCUUAUAUUCAGCAUAACUAUCAAAUGCCCUUUAAACCUUUAUGCUAUAUAAAAGCAUUCCCAACUUCCCUGCUGUCUUCAGACCACUGACAUUGACUUACAUUUAGAUGUGCACUUGUGAUCUCAAGGCACAGAAGGCAAUGGGUCAGAUGCUGGAAAAUAGGAUGAGAAUAGUUCAAUGCUCAUGUCUAACUGGUGCAGACUUGAUUGUGGAAAGUGGCCUUUUCUGUCCUGUAGAUUUCUGAGGCUCUCGAACUUCCCCAUCUUUGGUGGCAUUCAGAUAGGUUCAUUUGCAACCUCACCGCGGCUUGAUAUCUUUCUCAAAGUGUAUUGCCCAGAAUGAAUCAUCCAUAGAACUGCUCCAUCCUAGACAUUUAACUGCCCUUUUAUGUCCCUCCCUUUCAUUCCCCAAUAGCCCCCUCAAGCCCAAUAUCUCCCGCAUUUUCUGUGUUUCCAACUUUCAUAUGCCGCACCUUUCGUUUCCUCCAAUCUACCAUCAGUGAGCUUUUCACCAUCUUGCCCAAUAUUAGGGCGACCACAUGUCUUCUCACUUUGAAACUACAGCCUUCAGGCACAGUUCCUACUUUCAACAGCCUGCAGUUCUCUCCAGCUCAGCUCAGAUUUUCAACCGAGAUGUAUCACAGGUAAAGCACUGUACUUUCAGCUGACACAUUCAUCGAGACAAUUUGCAAUCCUUCGCCUCGGAGGGAGACCAAAUACAACGGUGCAAGGGAGGGAUCGGUUUGUUAUCCCUGGAAUCUAGAAGGUUACCGGUUGGUUCGAACGACAUGGGGAACUGGAAGCAGGCGGUGAUAGACUCUUCCCCCUGGACACUGUUGAAACAACUGUGCGGCCAAGCAGGAAUUGAAGUGUUAGUUGCAGAUGACUUGGAGCUGACGGGCUGUACGGAUGCAGCUCUGGUUGGCAACAAGAUGUUGAUUGGUCGAUGGACGAGUGACCGAUGAUUGAUGGCACAGACCUUUUGCCUGUUGACAACUAUAUGGCUUGUUCUCGGGAAACUGAACAGCGUGGAGAUGGCCACAAGUCACAGAGGGAGUGAGAGAGAAAGGUGUUCAGUUCUUUCCCAGCUCUGCACCUUUCAAACUGUGUGGUCAAGCAGGAAUUGAAUUGUGAGUUGCAGAUGACUUGGAGCUGACGGGCUGUACAGAUGUGCCUCUGGUUGGCAACAAGGUGUUGAUUGGUCGAUGGACUAGCGACCGAUGAUUGAUGGCACAGAUCUUUUGUCUGUUGACAACUGUAUGGUUUGUUCUCAGCAAACUGAACAGAUUGGAGAUGGCAACAAGUCGCGGAGGGAGUGAGGGAGAAAAAUGUUCAGUUCUUUCACAGUUCUAGAGCGGCGCGAGCUGGGCGGAAGUGAGGUU